RNAcentral lists this long non-coding RNA (944 nucleotides) under Oryctolagus cuniculus (rabbit). Its description in RNAcentral is "lncRNA (ENSOCUG00000037471.1)". The record is from RNAcentral. Lineage: Eukaryota; Metazoa; Chordata; Mammalia; Lagomorpha; Leporidae.
GGCCCCAGGCGACAAUGCCGGGCGUUCCCGGACCUGGCGCCGCAGGGCUUGGGGCAGGGGCGCCGAGGGAGCGGGUGCUGGGCGGAAGCCCCUGGCCGGGGCGAGCGUAGGUGACCUGCGGGGGCUCUCCCCACCCCGCAGGAGCCCCCUCAUUGUCUGCCGCGAGAUGGGGAGUGGGCGUGCCCGACGCAUUCGCCUCCUCCGUGACUCGGCACGGCACCGAGUCCGGGAGGAGCCGGCGCCUGAGUCCCGGCCAAGGCUCGGGCGCCCGCGCCCUGGGCUCCGGCUCGUCCCCGUGUGAAACAGCCGGUUCCCGAGCCCGUGGGCCUCCUGGCCGGCGCGAGCGACUGCGACCCGCGGGGGUGACAAUGAGGACUUAGCACGCAGGGAAGUCCCCCAGCCCGGGCGGCCGCGGUCCCGGUGACCCGAGGAGAGCGCGGAGCCGGUGCCCACAUUGCAGCCCUGUCACCCUGUGCGGAAGUGCAGGGCCCUCGGGAAGAACCCGGCGCGGGACCCGGAGCCUGUUCGAGAUCUUCAGGCCCCGGUCGGCGGCAGCGUAGAUGGCUCGACUCCCCGCCGGCAUCCGCUUCAUCGCCUCCUUCUCCAGGGACCAGUGGUGAGUCCUGGCGGGCGGGGGGCUGCGUGGGGCUCACUACCCACGGGGGAGCCUCUGACUGCCCAGUGGCGUCCUUCCUCUGUGGCAUCGGGGCUCCCUCGUGGUCUUCCAUGUAACUGCAGAGAGGGGCCCACUGACUCCUGGCAGGGUUAGCACACGGCGCCGAGCCCCGGUGAGUGGCCGGCUAGCGAGUGUUCAGAGCUGGCCAGAGACCCCUCCCUGCGGGUCACGGCCAGGCAGGACACAUCUGCUGCCCUCUUAGGUUGAGUGUGUGGGGCCCAACGCCGUUCAACAGACCAAUGACAGGGCAGUGAGAGAGCAGACAGGC